This 433-nucleotide ribosomal RNA is filed under the name uncultured bacterium. Its description in RNAcentral is "partial 16S ribosomal RNA". It matches the Rfam family "Bacterial small subunit ribosomal RNA", at positions 29 to 507 of the family's 1533-position model. The record is from RNAcentral.
AACGAACGCUGGCGGCAUGCCUAACACAUGCAAGUCGAACGAGACCUUCGGGUCUAGUGGCGCACGGGUGCGUAACGCGUGGGAACCUGCCCUUAGGUUCGGCAUAACUCCCCGAAAGGGGUGCUAAUACCGGAUAAUGUCUUCGGACCAAAGAUUUAUCGCCUUUGGAUGGGCCCGCGUUGGAUUAGCUAGUUGGUAGGGUAAAAGCCUACCAAGGCGACGAUCCAUAGCUGGUCUGAGAGGAUGAUCAGCCACACUGGGACUGAGACACGGCCCAGACUCCUACGGGAGGCAGCAGUGGGGAAUAUUGGACAAUGGGCGAGAGCCUGAUCCAGCAAGGCCGCGUGAGUGAUGAAGGCCUUAGGGUUGUAAAGCUCUUUUACCCGGGAUGAUAAUGACAGUACCGGGAGAAUAAGCGCCGGCUAACUCCGUG